CCGAGUUCAUGCCCUCACGGGUAGAUCUCCCACCCUGUGUAUACCUUACCUUUUUGCUUUGGCGGGCCGCCUGGCUACCGGCUUCGGCUGGUAAGUGCCCGCCAAAGGACCCCAAACCCUAACCCAUUACCGUAUCGUCUGAGUAAAAAUCUCAAUAUUUA
This 161-nucleotide unclassified non-coding RNA is filed under the name uncultured fungus. Its description in RNAcentral is "sequence contains ITS1, 5.8S rRNA gene". The record is from RNAcentral. Lineage: Eukaryota; Fungi.